GACGAACGCUGGCGGCGUGCUUAACACAUGCAAGUCGAACGGUAAGGCCCUUCGGGGUACACGAGUGGCGAACGGGUGAGUAACACGUGGGUGAUCUGCCCUGCACUUCGGGAUAAGCCUGGGAAACUGGGUCUAAACCGGAUAGGACUCCGGACUGCAUGGUCUGGGGGGGAAAGCUUUUGCGGUGUGGGAUGGGCCCGCGGCCUAUCAGCUUGUUGGUGGGGGGAUGGCCUACCAAGGCGACGACGGGUAGCCGGCCUGAGAGGGUGACCGGCCACACUGGGACUGAGAUACGGCCCAGACUCCUACGGGAGGCAGCAGUGGGGAAUAUUGCACAAUGGGCGCAAGCCUGAUGCAGCGACGCCGCGUGAGGGAUGACGGCCUUCGGGUUGUAAACCUCUUUCAGCAUCGACGAAGCGAAAGUGACGGUAGGUGCAGAAGAAGGACCGGCCAACUACGUGCCAGCAGCCGCCGUAA
RNAcentral lists this ribosomal RNA (477 nucleotides) under uncultured bacterium. Its description in RNAcentral is "partial 16S ribosomal RNA". It matches the Rfam family "Bacterial small subunit ribosomal RNA", at positions 28 to 523 of the family's 1533-position model. The record is from RNAcentral.